RNAcentral lists this ribosomal RNA (459 nucleotides) under [Haemophilus] piscium. Its description in RNAcentral is "bacterial SSU rRNA". It matches the Rfam family "Bacterial small subunit ribosomal RNA", at positions 21 to 473 of the family's 1533-position model. The record is from RNAcentral. Lineage: Bacteria; Pseudomonadati; Pseudomonadota; Gammaproteobacteria; Aeromonadales; Aeromonadaceae.
GGCUCAGAUUGAACGCUGGCGGCAGGCCUAACACAUGCAAGUCGAGCGGCAGCGGGAAAGUAGCUUGCUACUUUUGCCGGCGAGCGGCGGACGGGUGAGUAAUGCCUGGGGAUCUGCCCAGUCGAGGGGGAUAACAGUUGGAAACGACUGCUAAUACCGCAUACGCCCUACGGGGGAAAGGAGGGGACCUUCGGGCCUUUCGCGAUUGGAUGAACCCAGGUGGGAUUAGCUAGUUGGUGGGGUAAUGGCUCACCAAGGCGACGAUCCCUAGCUGGUUUGAGAGGAUGAUCAGCCACACUGGAACUGAGACACGGUCCAGACUCCUACGGGAGGCAGCAGUGGGGAAUAUUGCACAAUGGGGGAAACCCUGAUGCAGCCAUGCCGCGUGUGUGAAGAAGGCCUUCGGGUUGUAAAGCACUUUCAGCGAGGAGGAAAGGUUGGCGCCUAAUACGUGUCAAC